RNAcentral lists this long non-coding RNA (559 nucleotides) under Sus scrofa (pig). RNAcentral's name for it is "lncRNA (ENSSSCG00070021883.1)". Lineage: Eukaryota; Metazoa; Chordata; Mammalia; Artiodactyla; Suidae. The record is from RNAcentral.
GGGCGCAUGCGCACCUUUUGGCGGGAAGAAGACCCCUCCCCCAUCCUUGCCGUCCCAACUGCCUGCCUUGGCGAAGGGGAGGGACAGCCAAGCCACUCCCGCCAGAAACCCUGAGCCCAGCUGCAGUACGGGGCGGGGCAUGGCGUCCCCACAUUCCACGGGAACACCUGAGUGGCACCCGCGGUGGCGGCUUCCGCCCUCCGACUGGGCUGGGUGCGGUGCUGCUCGGGCCCAGCUGCCGAGUCAGACACUAGCAGCCCCACAACCAGCGAGAAGAAGAUGGCCCAGAGCUUCUCCAACUCCUCAGAGGAAUCCGACUUGGAUACCUCCAUGGAAGAAACCAUACGUGAUACUAUCUGGGCCAGAGCGGAGAAGCCCAGCAGUGCCAGGAGAGCCUGGGCAACUCACCAGUGAACUUCCUCAUCAAGAAGCUGCAGCAGAUGAGAACAAAGAGAAAGACCCACAUACCGUUGGCUCUUCAAAUCGGUGUGGUUCAUGCAAUGAAAUAAUGCUCCAAAGAAGGGGAAAAUCCUCCACAAGGAACAGAGAACCCCAUUGA